Molecule: ribosomal RNA, 253 nt
Filed under: uncultured bacterium
Lineage: Bacteria
Description: partial 16S ribosomal RNA
Rfam family: Bacterial small subunit ribosomal RNA
Source: RNAcentral
UACGUAGGUGGCAAGCGUUGUCCGGAAUUACUGGGUGUAAAGGGAGCGCAGGCGGGAAGCCAAGUCAGCUGUGAAAACUACGGGCUUAACUUGUAGACUGCAGUUGAAACUGGUUUUCUUGGGUGAAGUAGAGGUUGGCGGAAUUCCGAGUGUAGCGGUGAAAUGCGUAGAUAUUCGGAGGAACACCGGUGGCGAAGGCGGCCAACUGGGCUUUAACUGACGCUGAGGCUCGAAAGUGUGGGGAGCAAACAGG